UACGGAGGGUGCGAGCGUUGUCCGGAAUCACUGGGCGUAAAGGGCGCGCAGGCGGCCUUAGAAGUCAGAUGUGAAAGCCCCGGGCUCAACCUGGGAAUGGCAUUUGAUACUCUGAGGCUGGAGUACGGGAGAGGAGAGUGGAAUUCCCAGUGUAGAGGUGAAAUUCGUAGAUAUUGGGAAGAACACCGGUGGCGAAGGCGGCUCUCUGGACCGUAACUGACGCUGAGGCGCGAAAGCGUGGGGAGCAAACAGG
RNAcentral lists this ribosomal RNA (253 nucleotides) under uncultured bacterium. RNAcentral describes it as "partial 16S ribosomal RNA". It matches the Rfam family "Bacterial small subunit ribosomal RNA", at positions 524 to 776 of the family's 1533-position model. The record is from RNAcentral.